Molecule: non-coding RNA, 811 nt
Organism: Camellia sinensis
Lineage: Eukaryota; Viridiplantae; Streptophyta; Magnoliopsida; Ericales; Theaceae
Source: RefSeq, a predicted model, not a curated record
GGUUGAGAUGACCCCCUUAAAUAUAUAUCAAUCCCCUUCCAGCACCACUGUUACAUAUCUGUUCCGUUUGGGAAGUUCAACCUAAUGAAGUAAUGAUGGUUGGGGAUAACCUUAAAGAUGAUGUGAGUUCUGCUCUAUUUCUCUCUCCAUCAUUUGCACCAUAUUUGUUAAGAACAUUUCUGAUUCAUUUUGAGGUUGCUUGUGGGAAACGAGCGGGAGCAUUUACAUGCUUGCUUGACGAAACAGGGAGGUAUGAUUCUCCCGAAUACACAGAUGUGGAAUUUCAGCCAGAUUACAACGUGUCUUAUCUUGCCCAUGUUCAUUCACUACUGGAAGCAAAUUUUGACCUGACACCAUGAUCCACAAUUUCCUUGACAAUAAAAAUUUGCAUUGUUAAAUUGAGUAGCAUUGAGAUUCUCAUACCAUUUAUUAUUUGGUGGAUACACCUAUUUUUGAUCCUGUGAAGAAUUCAUAGGAGAAGCUUUGUCAAGUACGGAGAUAGGAAAUUACCAAGGAAAUAUUGUGUAUUUGAAAGACAGAGAUCUUUCUUUAGUUUAGCAUCUUAUGGUAGUGUUGAUAUGCUGUAGAGUCAUCGAAUAUAUAGGUUUCCUUGCCAAAGCACUCUUGGAUAGAUUUCCUGCACAUCUUUGUUUGUUGUUAUCAUUGUAUUAUGAGGCCAGCUGUUAGUGCUUUGUUUGUGGGAUGUAAGAUUGUUGUUGUAUAUCUAUAUGUAAUACUUUUGACCCAUUUUAUAAUGCGAUUUCUUUCUCCCUUUGGUGCAAUGCAAUGCAUAUUUUAAAAUUACAAUGAA